RNAcentral lists this ribosomal RNA (585 nucleotides) under uncultured bacterium. RNAcentral's name for it is "bacterial SSU rRNA". It matches the Rfam family "Bacterial small subunit ribosomal RNA", at positions 224 to 806 of the family's 1533-position model. The record is from RNAcentral.
GAUGGGCAUGCGGAACAUUAGCUAGUUGGGAGGGUAACGGCCUACCAAGGCAACGAUGUUUAGGGGACCUGAGAGGGUGAUCCCCCACACUGGUACUGAGACACGGACCAGACUCCUACGGGAGGCAGCAGUGAGGAAUAUUGGUCAAUGGGCGCAAGCCUGAACCAGCCAUCCCGCGUGCAGGAAGACGGCCCUAUGGGUUGUAAACUGCUUUUCCAGGGGGAGAAUUUUUCUGUCGUGACAGGAAUUGACGGUACCCAGGGAAUAAGCAUCGGCUAACUCCGUGCCAGCAGCCGCGGUAAUACGGAGGAUGCGAGCGUUAUCCGGAUUUAUUGGGUUUAAAGGGUGCGUAGGCGGAUAGAUAAGUCAGUGGUGAAAACCUGCAGCUUAACUGUAGACUUGCCGUUGAUACUGUCAGUCUUGAGUAUGGUCAAGGUAGGCGGAAUGUGUAAUGUAGCGGUGAAAUGCUUAGAUAUUACACAGAACACCGAUUGCGAAGGCAGCUUACUGGGCCAUUACUGACGCUGAUGCACGAAAGCGUGGGGAUCGAACAGGAUUAGAUACCCUGGUAGUCCACGCCGUAAA